GUAUUGUAUUGCGUUAAACGCGGUGCACAUUCCAUAAGACUUCACUACGGUGUAUGUGUAAAGACGUAGAACCACGGGAAGAGGACGGCAAGUCCUCCAGACCAUAGAACUACGGUGGGUGCACAGGUGUGAGUGGAUGUGUAACAGAGCGUGCACAUGCCCCCUUGUUUUGAGGACCAGCAACAGCUCGUGUCAACAACUCGGUAAUGAUCCUUCCGCAGGUUCACCUACGGAAA
This 236-nucleotide unclassified non-coding RNA is filed under the name uncultured fungus. RNAcentral's name for it is "sequence contains ITS1". The record is from RNAcentral. Lineage: Eukaryota; Fungi.